AUAUAAAUACAUAAAUAAAUAAAAACCUAAGUUCUUAUUAACACAGCCUUCGCAGCCGUGAGAAUGAGGGGGAAGGAGAAGAACAGCCGCAGUCCAGGUCUUGGACUUAGGUUUCGUAGCUCUUGCUCUGGGCCACCAUUAUCACAGGUGCUCGACAAAAUGUCGCAAUGGCAUUGCAAAGAUGAGAUUUGUCAUCUCAGUUCUGUUAUUUCUUGUGUUCAUUUUAUUUGGAGUUCCUUUUGUACUCUAUUCAACCAGACAAGUUUUAUUAAUUGCUCUUGCACAAAUUAAGAGUUACUUGGUUGGAUGCAUCGCAAGUUCCAGGCCAAUGAACCACUGAAGGAUUUUAGCGUAGGGAAUUCUUGUACUUGUCUUUCAGGGCAGCCAUCAUUGGAUGACCAACAGUACUACCCAAAGUUAGUACUGGGAGAAACAGUCAUGUUAGUACUGGAAGAAACAUUUAUGUUAGCACUGGAAGAAGCUGCCAUGGUAGCACCAUUACACUUAGAGGAAAGCCAUUGGAAGGCACAGAGACCAGUGGGAAUGGAACAAUAAUCUGUCCACUCUAGGGCUAUCUGUUUGGAUCAGCAAUUGAGUUGCCAGAAACAACCACAGUGGUAAAGAAGGAACAUAGAACAUCGCUUGGGGAGCUGUUUCAGAGGACAAAAAUAGCAGAGGAAAAUUAUGUAGCCAAAAGCGAGAGGGGAGAAAAACGGACAGAAAAGGAGACAGAUAAAUCAGCUAUACACCUCAUGAAAAAGAUGAUGAAGAAAAGAAUGGUUCAUGGUUCUUCUCGGAGCUCCACCACAUCGACUGGGGGAAAUGUUGACUCUGCUUCAUCUGAGACAAAACUGCAUAAGGUAUGUGUACUUCUAGUUUAGACCUCUAUUACAUGAACUUGGGUGCAAUGCAUAUCAAAAUGCCAGACCCAACAAAUCUCAAAUUUAAGGUAUGCAAACUCGGCAAGAAAAGGUCAAUUUUUUUUUAUAUUAUUUUUAAUAUAUUAUGUGAGACAAAAUGGAAACAUAUAGUCUCAAAAAGGCAUUUUACUUAUUUUACUUCAGUCAUUUGAUCUAUGUAGUGGUUUCACUAUGUGGGACUAUUGCAAACUUUCUUGAAGUGUUGAGAUGCCAUUAUACCCUUAUAGUGUACUGAAUGUGCUUGUUCAUCUUUAAGAACUUGUUUAACGUAAGUGUUCUUGAGUUAUGGUUACAUGCUCUCCAGUUACGGUUACAUGCUCCCUUUUCUGCCUAUGCAACAGUUUGAUCGACAAUUGUACUUUGUAGUUCUAAUUUAAGCUCAUUUACUUGACUAUGUUAGUCUCAUUUAUAGGGGCUACUAUGGUUUUCCAUGGGUUUUAAUACUUCAUUGCAAGCUAGUAAUGGAAAUUUCAAAUUUUCAUUUCUUUCAGUGAUAGGACAAAAUAUUAUCCGUUGGCAUCCUUUGUUCUACACAUAAAGCAUAGUGAGUCCAAGGAUUCCGCUGUAAGCCCAAGAAUUUUGCUUUCUGGUCCUGCAGAUUUAUCAUGAUAUGACAGCUCAUUUAUCUCACUAUUUUGUAUAAACGGGCCAUAAUUUGUAUCUAACGGGAAAUCAACUAAGGAGUGACUGCAGUGAUGUCCCGAUCAUACAAGCAUUGCAGAGAGGUGUUAGAGUAUUUGAACUGGAUAUCUAGCCGAGUUCCACAAAAGAUAAUGUCAAUGUUCUUCAUGGAAGGAAACUCUGGCCAACCUCCCAAGCGUUUAGAAGUUUCUAGGAGCUCAAAUGGAGAAGAUGAUGAAGAAUGGUCGCUGAUAUCUGAAAUGCACUCAAGGUUAGAAAUUUCUUGGAGAGAUGCAAAAUAUGGUCAAAGAAUUCAAGAACUUAAUUUUGCAAGUUUUUUCAUUUUUUAAUAUAUGUAAGCAUAGUGUAAAAACUUUUUAUUUAAUUCCUCUGUGUAUACUUUUGAACAUGAACAUAUUUAACUUUCAUUUAUGAAAUAUAUGACGUUAUUCCAUUCAA
Non-coding RNA from Camellia sinensis, 2000 nucleotides. Lineage: Eukaryota; Viridiplantae; Streptophyta; Magnoliopsida; Ericales; Theaceae. The record is from RefSeq and is a predicted model, not a curated record.